AGCAGUCGCCGCGGGAAUACGUAGGUGGCAAGCGUUGUCCGGAAUUAUUGGGCGUAAAGGGCUCGCAGGCGGUUUCUUAAGUCUGAUGCGAAAGCCCCGGCUCAACCGGGGAGGGUCAUUGGAAACUGGGAAACUUGAGUGCAGAAGAGGAGAGUGGAAUUCCACGUGUAGCGGUGAAAUGCGUAGAGAUGUGGAGGAACACCAGUGGCGAAGGCGACUCUCUGGUCUGUAACUGACGCUGAGGAGCGAAAGCGUGGGGAGCGAACAGGAUUAGAUACCCCUGUAGUCCCUGUCUCUUAUACC
Molecule: ribosomal RNA, 303 nt
Filed under: uncultured bacterium
Lineage: Bacteria
Description: partial 16S ribosomal RNA
Rfam family: Bacterial small subunit ribosomal RNA
Source: RNAcentral